AACGAACGCUGGCGGCAUGCCUAACACAUGCAAGUCGAACGAGACCUUCGGGUCUAGUGGCGCACGGGUGCGUAACGCGUGGGAACCUGCCCUUAGGUUCGGACUACCUCAGAGAAAUUUGAGCUAAUACCGGAUGAUGUCUUCGGACCAAAGAUUUAUCGCCUUUCGAUGGGCCCGCGUUGGAUUAGCUUGUUGGUAGGGUAAAGGCAUACCAAGGCGACGAUCCAUAGCUGGUCUGAGAGGAUGAUCAGCCACACUGGGACUGAGACACGGCCCAGACUCCUACGGGAAGCAGCAGUGGGGAAUAUUGCACAAUGGGCGAAGGCCUGAUCCAGCAAUGCCGCGUGAGUGAUGAAGGCCUUAGAGUUGUAAAGCGCUUUUACCCGAGAUGAUAAUGACAGUAUCGGGAGAAUAAGCUCCGGCUAACUCCGUG
Molecule: ribosomal RNA, 433 nt
Filed under: uncultured bacterium
Lineage: Bacteria
Description: partial 16S ribosomal RNA
Rfam family: Bacterial small subunit ribosomal RNA
Source: RNAcentral